RNAcentral lists this non-coding RNA (31 nucleotides) under Mus musculus (house mouse). The record is from RNAcentral. Lineage: Eukaryota; Metazoa; Chordata; Mammalia; Rodentia; Muridae.
UACUCCAGUGAUGAUACGCUUUCUAAAUCUU